This 892-nucleotide ribosomal RNA is filed under the name uncultured bacterium. RNAcentral's name for it is "bacterial SSU rRNA". It matches the Rfam family "Bacterial small subunit ribosomal RNA", at positions 493 to 1396 of the family's 1533-position model. The record is from RNAcentral.
CCGGCUAACUACGUGCCAGCAGCCGCGGUCAUACGUAGGGUCCAAGCAUUAUCCGGAUUGACUGGGUGUAAAGAGUUGCGUAGGUGGCAGGGUAAGUAGAUAGUGAAAUCUGGUGGCUCAACCAUUCAGACUAUUAUCUAAACUGCUCCGCUCGAGAACGUUAGGGGUAGCUGGAAUUUCUAGUGUAGGAGUGAAAUCCGUAGAUAUUAGAAAGAACACCGAUAGCGUAGGCAGGCUACUGGGACGUUUCUGACACUAAGGCACGAAAGCGUGGGGAGCAAACGGGAUUAGAUACCCCGGUAGUCCACGCUGUAAACGAUGGAUACUAGCAGUUCCCGGUAUCGACCCCGGAAGUUGCGAAGCUAACGCGUUAAGUAUCCCACCUGUGUAGUACGAUCGCAAGAUUAAAACAUAAAGGAAUUGACGGGGACCCGCACAAGCGGUGGAGCGUGAUCUUUAAUUCGAUGGUAAACGAUAAACCUUACCAAGGCUUGACAUCUCGAGAAGGCUUCCGAAAGGAAACUGUGCCCUUGGGAACUCGAAGACAGGUGAUGCAUGGCCGUCGUCAGCUCGUGUCGUGAGAUGUUUGGUUAAGUCCAUCAACGAGCGCAACCCUUGCAACCAGUUGUAUUUUUCUGGUAGGACUGCCCCGGUAACGGGGAGGAAGGAGGGGAUGAUGUCAGGUCAGUAUUUCCCUUACGCCUUGGGCUAGAAUCGCGCUACAAUGGCCGGUACAAUGCGAAGCGAAGCAGUGAUGUGAAGCAAAUCGCACCAAAGCCGGUCCCAGUUCGGAUUGAAGGCUGAAACUCGCCUUCAUGAAGUCGGAAUCGCUAGUAAUCGCAGAUCAGCAUGUUGCGGUGAAUACGUUCCCGGGUCUUGCACACACCGCCCG